This 922-nucleotide ribosomal RNA is filed under the name uncultured Bacteroidota bacterium. RNAcentral's name for it is "bacterial SSU rRNA". It matches the Rfam family "Bacterial small subunit ribosomal RNA", at positions 1 to 916 of the family's 1533-position model. Lineage: Bacteria; Pseudomonadati; Bacteroidota. The record is from RNAcentral.
GGAUCCAGACUUUGAUCCUGGCUCAGGAUGAACGCUAGCUACAGGCCUAACACAUGCAAGUCGAGGGGAAACGGCAGCUUAGCUUGCUAAGCUGGACGUCGACCGGCGCACGGGUGAGUAACGCGUAUCCAACCUGCCCCACGGUGAGGGAUAACCCGCGGAAACGCGGCCUAAUACCUCAUGGUCUCCGAGUUUGCCAUCAACCUUGGAGUAAAGAUUCAUUGCCGUGGGAUGGGGAUGCGUCUGAUUAGCUUGUUGGCGGGGCAACGGCCCACCAAGGCAACGAUCAGUAGGGGUUCUGAGAGGAAAGCCCCCCACAUUGGAACUGAGACACGGUCCAAACUCCUACGGGAGGCAGCAGUGAGGAAUAUUGGUCAAUGGGCGAGAGCCUGAACCAGCCAAGUAGCGUGCAGGAAGACGGCCCUAUGGGUUGUAAACUGCUUUUAUGCGGGGAUAAAGCGGGCGACGUGUCGCCCAUUGCAGGUACCGCAUGAAUAAGGACCGGCUAAUUCCGUGCCAGCAGCCGCGGUAAUACGGAAGGUCCGGGCGUUAUCCGGAUUUAUUGGGUUUAAAGGGAGCGCAGGCCGGGUAUUAAGCGUGUUGUGAAAUGUAGGCGCCCAACGUCUGCACCGCAGCGCGAACUGGUGCCCUUGAGUACGCACGACGUUGGCGGAAUUCGCCGUGUAGCGGUGAAAUGCUUAGAUAUGGCGAAGAACUCCGAUUGCGAAGGCAGCUGACGGGAGCGCUACUGACGCUCAUGCUCGAAAGCGCGGGUAUCGAACAGGAUUAGAUACCCUGGUAGUCCGCGCGGUAAACAAUGGAUGCCCGCUAUUUGCGCAUUAGCGCAAGUGGCCAAGUGAAAACGUUAAGCAUCCCACCUGGGGAGUACGCCGGCAACGGUGCAACUCAAAGGAAUUGACGG